RNAcentral lists this unclassified non-coding RNA (406 nucleotides) under Basidiomycota sp. RNAcentral describes it as "partial contains small subunit ribosomal RNA, internal transcribed spacer 1, and 5.8S ribosomal RNA". The stretch from base 1 to 47 matches the Rfam family "Eukaryotic small subunit ribosomal RNA", at positions 1785 to 1831 of the family's 1831-position model. The record is from RNAcentral. Lineage: Eukaryota; Fungi; Basidiomycota.
AAAGUCGUAACAAGGUUUCCGUAGGUGAACCUGCGGAAGGAUCAUUCACACUUAAAGGAGUCUGGAGUCGUCAAAAAGCUUCAUUCUCUGAUUCUCCCAAUUUUAAACGCAAUAUGCUACAACUCCAAUUUAAGGCUUCCUUUCUCUUCUUCACCGUUGAGAAUGUAGGAGUAGUGUUUGGUAGUGUUGAUGGUCUUCACGGGCUGUUUUCACUGCUGAGCAUGCCAAAUCAACUGAUUUUAUCAACCUACCCCUCGUCGCCGCUUGUAGACCAUAACCUGCUCUGCUUGUGGUUGUCAUUCUGCCUAAGUCUGCUUCUCGUCGAAUUAAGCACUCGAUGUUGAAGCAAGUUCGACCAAUACGAAACAAAUAAAUACAACUCUUUGCAAUGGAUAUCUUGGUUCUC